CAUUUCAAAGUGCGCGCACGCACAGCGGACGUAGGCCGAGUUAGUGAGUUAGUAAUGAUUUAAUGCUUGUGUGGUUUAUAAAGACUUUUUACAUACAAGUUAUAAUUCAAAAUGUUGUUUUUUCCUUUCAGAAAAGCACAUGGAUACACUUGUGAGAGAAAAACUCUUCGAGUGCAGUCUUAUUGAGGCAUCUAACGGUUGGAACAAACAUGGAAUUCUUUAACUGAGCAGAGUACACAAAACCACAUCCAACUGUCGUGGCGAUUUAAAAAUGCCAGCAGAUCUCUCAGGCAUUGAUCAUAAUUAAAGGACAGUUUUGGCAGGUAACAUGUGCCACCAGAUCCAGUCUGUAUCCAGAUCAGAG
This is a long non-coding RNA of Carassius auratus (goldfish), 364 nucleotides long. RefSeq lists it as uncharacterized. The record is from RefSeq and is a predicted model, not a curated record. The transcript is spliced from 3 exons. NCBI's taxonomy places the organism in Eukaryota, Metazoa, Chordata, Actinopteri, Cypriniformes, Cyprinidae.